This 434-nucleotide ribosomal RNA is filed under the name uncultured bacterium. Its description in RNAcentral is "partial 16S ribosomal RNA". It matches the Rfam family "Bacterial small subunit ribosomal RNA", at positions 29 to 507 of the family's 1533-position model. The record is from RNAcentral.
AGCGAACGCUGGCGGCAGGCCUAACACAUGCAAGUCGAACGAACCUUUCGGGGUUAGUGGCGGACGGGUGAGUAACACGUGGGAACGUGCCUUUAGGUUCGGAAUAACUCAGGGAAACUUGUGCUAAUACCGAAUGUGCCCUUCGGGGGAAAGAUUUAUCGCCUUUAGAGCGGCCCGCGUCUGAUUAGCUAGUUGGUUGAGGUAAUGGCUCACCAAGGCGACGAUCAGUAGCUGGUCUGAGAGGAUGAUCAGCCACAUUGGGACUGAGACACGGCCCAAACUCCUACGGGAAGCAGCAGUGGGGAAUCUUCCGCAAUGGGCGAAAGCCUGACGCAGCCAUGCCGCGUGAAUGAUGAAGGUCUUAGGAUUGUAAAAUUCUUUCACCGGGGACGAUAAUGACGGUACCCGGAGAAGAAGCCCCGGCUAACUUCGUG